CAGCAGCCGCGGUAAUACAGAGGGUGCGAGCGUUAAUCGGAUUUACUGGGCGUAAAGCGUGCGUAGGCGGCUUUUUAAGUCGGAUGUGAAAUCCCUGAGCUUAACUUAGGAAUUGCAUUCGAUACUGGGAAGCUAGAGUAUGGGAGAGGAUGGUAGAAUUCCAGGUGUAGCGGUGAAAUGCGUAGAGAUCUGGAGGAAUACCGAUGGCGAAGGCAGCCAUCUGGCCUAAUACUGACGCUGAGGUACGAAAGCAUGGGGAGCAAACAGGAUUAGAUCCCCGGUAGUCCCUGUCUCUUAUACA
This 301-nucleotide ribosomal RNA is filed under the name uncultured bacterium. RNAcentral's name for it is "partial 16S ribosomal RNA". It matches the Rfam family "Bacterial small subunit ribosomal RNA", at positions 509 to 808 of the family's 1533-position model. The record is from RNAcentral.